Molecule: long non-coding RNA, 1470 nt
Organism: Anas platyrhynchos (mallard)
Lineage: Eukaryota; Metazoa; Chordata; Aves; Anseriformes; Anatidae
Source: RefSeq, a predicted model, not a curated record
CUUCUAUCUUUUCUGUGAAUACAUCCUUAUUUGCAAGACUGCUUUCACAGAAUACUUGCGUGCGCAGAAAGACAAGCUUAACAAAUAUUUGAAGAGAUGAUUUCAUUAUGCAUUUUGCAGAGCAGUAUUUUCUGCCAUCCUUGGACUAGUGCCUGCAGGCUGACUCACCAGAAUGAAAUCUAGGCAAGCCUGCAGUUACAUAUCUGGAAAGAUCCCAUCAGUCAGGGGCAGCGAAGCCAUCAGGAGUUUUGCCAUUCACUUACCGGCAACCCGUGGACUUUGAAAGACAUUUCUUAAGUUCUCAAAAACUCUUGGGUGCAGCCAGUUAAAUAGCUCAUUCCUUUGCCAGCCGUAGCCCCUUUGCUGUUAAUCCCAGUUAUAAAUGAUUUGUUUUACUGAAAUUCAAAUGAAGAUUUGAAUCUGUUUCCUGUUCAUACACACAAACUUAAGACAGAUAUUUGGCUGUAGCCAGAGUUCAUACAGCCUCCUGGGGGCUAUGUGAGUUUGGUGUGAGUCAUAGUUCGCUGACAUUCAGCAUGAAAAGAAAAAUUCUAAAAGUCUAACCAAGUCUGCUGGUCAUUGGGAAGUUUGUAAACUUGUCAGCCUUGUUUGGAAGCUGUUUUCCCUAUUGUGGUUUGCAACUGCAAUUAUGUAAAAAGUGAUGCAAGAUGUGGCCACAGGCACUAUGAAAUGCUCUAUCUGCUUUCUGUGAAGAUCAGCUGAACAAGUUAGGUUAUGAAUAGAAACAAAAUAUUGCUGGUUCAGGAAAAAAAUAAACAGACAAACAAUGAAAAAACAACCAACCACCACAGAGUCAUUUCCAGCUACCUUUCAUCUAUUUUUCAUUCAGGAUAAAGUGCCUGUCACUGCAGUGCUGCCAUGUAGUGUGAAGCAUUAGAUAGCCAGGAAACAGUUUCAAAGCAAAGACAUAAUUCACAGGUCUGAAAUUUUAUGUGGCGAUGAAUCCCAAAGAAAAUGGAGCGUCAGCUGAUCCGAGGCAGCAGGUGUCAGCAUGCCAUCAGUUGUUACGAACCCUCCUGCUGUCAGUAGACUUCAAACCUUCUUCUGCAUGUCUUGAAUUCUAAAGAAAUGACCAAAGGGAAGAGAGUUUUCCAUUUAUAGGGAAGAAGUGAGCUUGGGAAUUUUCAGUACUUCUAUAAGAAAGAAGAAAGCCUGGCUUUACUUCCUCCGAAAUUGCCACAUGGCGUUCAUUGUUCCGUGCAGCCUCAGAAACACCUGUGCUCUAUGGCCAACACACGCGAUUCAGCACUCUCAGUGGAACCAAAACAAUGAAGAUUAAACAAUUAAAUUGUACUUUCAGAUAUAAAUAAGGCUUAUCUUGGCUACCAAGAGUAGCCAAGAGUACAAAGAGUUCUGAUAUCAAAAUGAAAAUCUGAAAGUAUCUAAUCUAUUUUUCCUACUUUAUUUUCUAGUCUACUCCUUGAAUUCUAUUAAAAUUGGUUAUCUGAA